This 437-nucleotide ribosomal RNA is filed under the name uncultured bacterium. RNAcentral describes it as "partial 16S ribosomal RNA". It matches the Rfam family "Bacterial small subunit ribosomal RNA", at positions 29 to 507 of the family's 1533-position model. The record is from RNAcentral.
AGCGAACGCUGGCGGCAGGCUUAACACAUGCAAGUCGAGCGGGCAUCCUUGUGGUGUCAGCGGCAGACGGGUGAGUAACGCGUGGGAACGUGCCCUUCGGUUCGGAAUAACUCAGGGAAACUUUAGCUAAUACCGGAUACGUUCGAGAGCAGAAAGGUUUAUCUGCCGAAGGAUCGGCCCGCGUCUGAUUGGCUAGUUGGUGAGGUUACGGCUCACCAAGGCGACGAUCAGUAGCUGGUCUGAGAGGAUGAUCAGCCACACUGGGACUGAGACACGGCCCAGACUCCUACGGGAGGCAGCAGUGGGGAAUAUUGGACAAUGGGGGCAACCCUGAUACAGCCAUGCCGCGUGAGUGAUGACGGCCUUAGGGUUGUAAAGCUCUUUUCCCCGGGACGAUAAUGACGGUACCGGAGGAAUAAGCCCCGGCUAACUUCGUG